RNAcentral lists this unclassified non-coding RNA (377 nucleotides) under uncultured bacterium. Its description in RNAcentral is "contains 16S-23S intergenic spacer region". The record is from RNAcentral.
UCCGGUUUAACACCGGCAGUCUCCCUAGAGUCCCCAACUUAAUGAUGGUAACUAAGGACAGGGGUUGCGCUCGUUGCCGGACUUAACCGAACAUUUCACAACACGAGCUGACGACAGCCAUGCAGCACCUGUCUACGAGUCCCCGAAGGUAAGGAUGCAUCUCUGCAUCUGUCUCGCGAUGUCAAGUCCUGGUAAGGUUCUUCGCUUAUCCUCGAAUUAAAGAACAUGCUCCACCGCUUGUGCGGCUCCCCGUCAAUUCCUUUAUGUUUUAGUCUUGCGACCGUACUCCACAGGCGGGAUACUUAACGCGUUAGCUUCGCUACUGAAGGGGUCGAUACCUCCAACAGCUAGUAUCCAUCGUUUACGGCGUGGACUAC